AGCUGAACGUUAUAGUGGACACUUUCCCUUCUUUACUGCCACGGAGCACAGCCCCAACCCCAGCCAUUGUUCUCCAUCAGCGAGAUUCCUGAGAGCUCUCUAAAGAUCAUCUCGACAACUUCGCUACAGGGGAAGGCUUCCUUUGGCGCAAGGUUUGGUGUGGCUUUCCGAGUGCUGUAUAUAUAGCCUGAGAACCAUGGCAUGCUUCAAAAGAGUCGAUGUUCAACGGAUCGAUCUGGCUAGGGAACGUAAGAAGGAGGACGGACUAGGAUGGGGUGUGUAAGGAUCAGAGAUUCGUCGACUGAAAGGUGGGGACGAAUUAACCCAGUCAAAGAUUUACUGAAGAACCAAAGGAAGAAUGUGCACAGAAGGAAAACAUACAAAGGAAACAAGAAAGAAACUCGAUGAUGUUGACGAGACGCAAGCAGACUCCAUGGUCGGUGGAAAGUAAGUAGAAGAAAUCUAGAACUGGAACUGUUUGACAUGUCCUUUUACGUAGCACAUGCCUGAAAGGAUCCUGCUUUGUCCUGCGGAUGUUGUUGUUUCAUCAAUGAAGCAUGCUCGAUGAGUCAUUGGGACCCCAUUCCAUGCUGGAUAGAAUGGACUGGACAUGCAAUUUAUCUGAUAAAGAAGGAAGAAUUAGAGUGGAGUUUGGAUGAGAAGUGAUUGUGAACUAAAUUGAUUGGUGGAUGCACACCAGUCUCUGAAUCUUAGGGAAGAAACACAACUUAGAGGGCAACAUACCAGCUCUGGUGGUCUUCCUCCAUCCUCAUUGACACCAAAGAGGUUACUUAGUAUUAGUUCCCUUAAAAUCUCUCCCUGCUUAGUCUAUGACCUUCAGUUCAACCUCUUCAUGCAAUCACACCUUCCUGUCUAUUGUUAAGUCUCAGCGCUGCAUUAGGCAGCAGCACAAUGCAGAUCACCAAGUACCAUUAAUGCAUGCAACGAAACAGGGGCUUCCAUACUUUCCGGCCUUGGCCUGCGGCGAGUAGAGCUCCAGGGAGAUGUCUUCUGACAAGUUGCGACUCCGGUGGCUCUUGUGAUCUCCCUUGAAGCUUCCAAGCUUGAUCGGUGGUGGUCGCAUGAUCUUGAAGCUGUUAUUUCUGCUGAACCAAUGAGUGGCACUUGAAGGGGAUGAAUUUCAAGCACUGGUGUCUCCUCCUUGAUCUCCUGAUUGCUUUGUAGAUGCAUGUGAUCAGUCCUUCCAUUGUCGACAAUGGUUGGAAGCUUCAGGCUCUGGUGCAUGUGUAGGCAAUGAACCUUCUGCAAUGGCUUUCUCAGACAAGUGAAGACCUUGACGAGUUUAUUCUUCUUAGUAAUUCUUAAUUAUUAUGGACAAGUCAUAGAUCUUGUCUCAGAUUGUAAUUUGUGUUUCUCUGUAAAUUAUGUAUGAGGCUAAUCAAGAUUUGUGAUGAUGACAAAGUUGACAUUUGUGAUUUCUUACAA
Molecule: long non-coding RNA, 1446 nt
Organism: Musa acuminata AAA Group (dessert banana)
Lineage: Eukaryota; Viridiplantae; Streptophyta; Magnoliopsida; Zingiberales; Musaceae
Exons: 2
Source: RefSeq, a predicted model, not a curated record